Molecule: ribosomal RNA, 468 nt
Filed under: uncultured bacterium
Lineage: Bacteria
Description: partial 16S ribosomal RNA
Rfam family: Bacterial small subunit ribosomal RNA
Source: RNAcentral
GACGAACGCUGGCGGCGUGCUUUACACAUGCAAGUCGAACGGAAAGGCCCUGCUUUUGUGGGGUGCUCGAGUGGCGAACGGGUGAGUAACACGUGAGUAACCUGCCCUUGACUUUGGGAUAACUUCAGGAAACUGGGGCUAAUACCGGAUAGGAGCUCCUGCUGCAUGGUGGGGGUUGGAAAGUUUCGGCGGUUGGGGAUGGACUCGCGGCUUAUCAGCUUGUUGGUGGGGUAGUGGCUUACCAAGGCUUUGACGGGUAGCCGGCCUGAGAGGGUGACCGGCCACAUUGGGACUGAGAUACGGCCCAGACUCCUACGGGAGGCAGCAGUGGGGAAUAUUGCACAAUGGGCGGAAGCCUGAUGCAGCAACGCCGCGUGCGGGAUGACGGCCUUCGGGUUGUAAACCGCUUUCGCCUGUGACGAAGCGUGAGUGACGGUAAUGGGUAAAGAAGCACCGGCUAACUACGUG